GGGGCUGAUUCUGGAUUCGACGGGAUUUGCGAAACCCAAGGUGCAUGCCGAGGGGCGGUUGGCCUCGUAAAAAGCCGCAAAAAAAUAGUCGCAAACGACGAAACCUACGCUUUAGCAGCUUAAUAACCUGCUUAGAGCCCUCUCUCCCUAGCCUCCGCUCUUAGGACGGGGAUCAAGAGAGGUCAAACCCAAAAGAGAUCGCGUGGAUGCCCUGCCUGGGGUUGAAGCGUUAAAACGAAUCAGGCUAGUCUGGUAGUGGCGUGUCCGUCCGCAGGUGCCAGGCGAAUGUAAAGACUGACUAAGCAUGUAGUACCGAGGAUGUAGGAAUUUCGGACGCGGGUU
RNAcentral lists this transfer-messenger RNA (342 nucleotides) under Salmonella enterica subsp. enterica serovar Enteritidis. Its description in RNAcentral is "partial transfer-messenger RNA". It matches the Rfam family "transfer-messenger RNA". From Rfam's summary of the family: Bacterial tmRNA, also known as 10Sa RNA or SsrA, is named for its dual tRNA and mRNA-like properties. The record is from RNAcentral. Lineage: Bacteria; Pseudomonadati; Pseudomonadota; Gammaproteobacteria; Enterobacterales; Enterobacteriaceae.